CGGGGCGUGACGUAACUGGUAAACGUGCGUGACUCAAAAUCACGAUUCUGUGGGUUCGAAUCCCACCGCCCCGACCA
This 77-nucleotide transfer RNA is filed under the name Caudoviricetes sp. RNAcentral describes it as "tRNA-Leu". It matches the Rfam family "tRNA". Rfam says of the family: Transfer RNA (tRNA) molecules are approximately 80 nucleotides in length. Their secondary structure includes four short double-helical elements and three loops (D, anti-codon, and T loops). The record is from RNAcentral. Lineage: Duplodnaviria; Heunggongvirae; Uroviricota; Caudoviricetes.